Molecule: long non-coding RNA, 494 nt
Organism: Talpa occidentalis (Iberian mole)
Lineage: Eukaryota; Metazoa; Chordata; Mammalia; Eulipotyphla; Talpidae
Exons: 4
Source: RefSeq, a predicted model, not a curated record
AGACGCAGGUAGCAAGAGCAUUAUCUGGCUGGCUGGCCAGGAGGAUGCAGUCUGGCCCAUUGACUCGGCCCAUUGGCAGCAACCCUGUCCCAGCCCUGGUGGUGGCAGGGAGGCACCAUGUUCCUCACAACACUUAGCAAUGGGCGAGCUGAGGGCCAGGUGAAGCCACGUAACCCUAAAUGCAAGCGCAUUCAGAGGAAGACACGCAGAGAAGGACGCUCGUCUCUUGCCUCUGAAUUUGCACCAGGGAUUUGGGGGACUUGGAGGAGACACGUGGAGAACAGACAUGUCAAGACAUCUGGAAGAGAAAGAGUAAACCUUUGAGGAAGAUAUCAUAAAUAUCCUCAUCUAUAGUUGUGGAAACUGAGGCAAAGAAAGAAUCUCAACUGUGUUCCAGAUCUUACUGAAGCACAGUACUUGACAACACUGUUCCUGUCCUCACAAACUAAGACCGAUUCAUGAAGGCAGCAAACACAUGUGAUCAUGAAAGCAGA